Molecule: long non-coding RNA, 436 nt
Filed under: Ananas comosus (pineapple)
Lineage: Eukaryota; Viridiplantae; Streptophyta; Magnoliopsida; Poales; Bromeliaceae
Description: long non-coding RNA (ACOM_LNC018424)
Source: RNAcentral
CCCCUCCUCCCUUCACUCAAGGAGUGUAAGUUUCAUCUGAAACAGUACAACGCUAUCCUGAAACGGUGUAAUUUCAUCAUCUUUUUCUUUUCUCUCUUAUUCUUCAUCUUUUUGAAUAAAAAGUUGUUUUUUAUUUUUUACUCUUUAUUCUUUUUAUUUUUUGCAUCUUUUUUCGUUGCUGUAAUGAUCCGGCCCACUAGCAAUAACAACUCGUUGGGUUCAAACCAUCGGCUAAAAUGCUUAAGCUCAAUUAUUAUAUCUAGCCUAAUCAAGCUUAUAUACUCUCACAUCUAACCAUAACUAUCCGAUGUGGGAUUAUUGGGAUGUCACAGACUCCCCCCGUUUAGCCUCUGACGUCCUCGCUAACCUUGUCAUUUCGACCCUGACUUAGCCUAUUAUUCACCGACCCUGACUUACUCUGUCAUUCCGACUCUAG